This 72-nucleotide transfer RNA is filed under the name Bos taurus (domestic cattle). It matches the Rfam family "tRNA". From Rfam's summary of the family: Transfer RNA (tRNA) molecules are approximately 80 nucleotides in length. The record is from Rfam by way of RNAcentral. RNAcentral also lists the same sequence under 5 other names. Lineage: Eukaryota; Metazoa; Chordata; Mammalia; Artiodactyla; Bovidae.
UCCCUAGUGGCUCAGAUGGUAUAGCAUUUGUCUGCAAUGCAGGAGACCUGGGUUCGAUUCCUGGGUUGGGUA